GAUUUGAAUUUAAAACUCUAAAAUUUAAAUUUUAAAUUAGAAUUUAAAUUUUAACAAAUAUAAGGUCAAAUUUAAAUUAAAAAUUGAAUUAAAAAUUUUGAUUAUAAAUUUUGAAAGUAUAAAACUUAAUUACUAUUAAACUAGCAUCGAACUAAGAGCUAAUGUUUGAUAAUAACGUAAGAUAACUGAAACAUGAAUGGAAUUGGAUUGGUUUGGAACGGAAAAUAGGAUGGCGAAUCAUUCAAAAAUGUUUCGUUCAUUAUUGAAAUGAAAAUUAGAAUGAAAUCUAGAAUUUUGAAAAAGAGUUUGAUUAAGAGAGAGAAAAAUAAAAAGGGAAGAGGAGGGGGAGGUGUUUGUAAGAGAGAAUUUUAGAUAGUUUAUUUUAAAAUUGUCCAAUCUGAAAAUCGAAGUCAGAGUUAGGUUAUAAAUGGAUGUGGUCAUUUCUAUUCCAGAAUGGAAAAGAAAUUAAAAUCCGAUUCAUAUAAACCAAACAAGAAUUAUCGACAUCAAUAACUUUCAUUCAAAUUUCAUAGUCUAAAAAAGAACAUGCACGAAUAAUAUGACCCAUUAUAUCCGAAAGGCAUACGGGGGCAUAUGGAUUAUUUUUACACUUUUAAAUUAUUUGUUAAAAUUUUAAAAGGGCUAGUUAUGAAAUUUUCCUCAUAAUUCAGCAUUGCUUUUUUUUGAAAAGAGCACCAUACGGCAUUUAUUCCGUAUAAUAAGCAGUCACAGACUCCUCAAACUCUUCGAAAGAAGACCAACCAAAAACUAUCCGGGAAACAAGGCUCCAUUUAGCUAGUUUAUCAACACAUUGUGAAAAGAAACUAUAUCUAGAAGACCACGCGAUAAGAAUAUUAUUAUUGGACUCCAAAAGACGUCGAAGCGAAGCAAUAUGCUCUACUAGUUGCAGUGAAAAUGGAAUAUGCUGAUUCUUCUUGUACAAACAGAAACGAAUGAUAGUUAUCGAAUCUGUAUAAAUUGAACACUUGAUAAGCUG
This 997-nucleotide long non-coding RNA is filed under the name Ananas comosus (pineapple). RNAcentral describes it as "long non-coding RNA (ACOM_LNC018259)". The record is from RNAcentral. Lineage: Eukaryota; Viridiplantae; Streptophyta; Magnoliopsida; Poales; Bromeliaceae.